CCUACGGGUGACUGCAGUCGAGAAUCAUUCACAAUGGGGGAAACCCUGAUGGUGCGACGCCGCGUGGAGGAAUGAAGGUCUUCGGAUUGUAAACCCCUGUCAUGUGGGAGCAAAUUAAAAAGAUAGUACCACAAGAGGAAGAGACGGCUAACUCUGUGCCAGCAGCCGCGGUAAUACAGAGGUCUCAAGCGUUGUUCGGAAUCACUGGGCGUAAAGCGUGCGUAGGCUGUUUCGUAAGUCGUGUGUGAAAGGCGCGGGCUCAACCCGCGGACGGCACAUGAUACUGCGAGACUAGAGUAGUGGAGGGGGAACCGGAAUUCGCGGUGUAGCAGUGAAAUGCGUAGAUAUCGAGAGGAACACUCGUGGCGAAGGCGGGUUCCUGGACAUUAACUGACGCUGAGGCACGAAGGCCAGGGGAGCGAAAGGGAUUAGAUACCCGAGUAGUC
This 446-nucleotide ribosomal RNA is filed under the name uncultured bacterium. RNAcentral describes it as "partial 16S ribosomal RNA". It matches the Rfam family "Bacterial small subunit ribosomal RNA", at positions 338 to 795 of the family's 1533-position model. The record is from RNAcentral.